RNAcentral lists this ribosomal RNA (492 nucleotides) under uncultured bacterium. Its description in RNAcentral is "partial 16S ribosomal RNA". It matches the Rfam family "Bacterial small subunit ribosomal RNA", at positions 29 to 507 of the family's 1533-position model. The record is from RNAcentral.
AGUGAACGCUGGCGGUAGGCCUAACACAUGCAAGUCGAACGGCAGCACAGUAUGAGCUUGCUCUUACGGGUGGCGAGUGGCGGACGGGUGAGGAAUACAUCGGAAUCUACUUUUUCGUGGGGGAUAACGUAGGGAAACUUACGCUAAUACCGCAUACGACCUACGGGUGAAAGCAGGGGAUCUACGGACCUUGCGCGAUUGAAUGAGCCGAUGUCGGAUUAGCUAGUUGGCGGGGUAAAGGCCCACCAAGGCGACGAUCCGUAGCUGGUCUGAGAGGAUGAUCAGCCACACUGGAACUGAGACACGGUCCAGACUCCUACGGGAGGCAGCAGUGGGGAAUAUUGGACAAUGGGCGCAAGCCUGAUCCAGCCAUACCGCGUGGGUGAAGAAGGCCUUCGGGUUGUAAAGCCCUUUUGUUGGGAAAGAAAAGCAGCAGGUUAAUACCCCGCUGUUCUGACGGUACCCAAAGAAUAAGCACCGGCUAACUUCGUG